RNAcentral lists this ribosomal RNA (408 nucleotides) under uncultured bacterium. RNAcentral describes it as "bacterial SSU rRNA". It matches the Rfam family "Bacterial small subunit ribosomal RNA", at positions 355 to 773 of the family's 1533-position model. The record is from RNAcentral.
UGGGGAAUAUUGCACAAUGGGCGGAAGCCUGAUGCAGCGACGCCGCGUGAGGGAUGACGGCCUUCGGGUUGUAAACCUCUUUCAGUAGGGAAGAAGCCGCAAGGUGACGGUACCUGCAGAAGAAGCGCCGGCUAACUACGUGCCAGCAGCCGCGGUAAUACGUAGGGCGCAAGCGUUAUCCGGAAUUAUUGGGCGUAAAGAGCUCGUAGGCGGUUUGUCGCGUCUGCCGUGAAAGUCCGGGGCUCAACUCCGGAUCUGCGGUGGGUACGGGCAGACUAGAGUGAUGUAGGGGAGACUGGAAUUCCUGGUGUAGCGGUGAAAUGCGCAGAUAUCAGGAGGAACACCGAUGGCGAAGGCAGCCUCCUGGGCCAACACUGACGCUCAUGCACGAAAGCGUGGGGAGCAAAC